RNAcentral lists this long non-coding RNA (402 nucleotides) under Sinocyclocheilus grahami. RNAcentral describes it as "lncRNA (ENSSGRG00000029402.1)". Lineage: Eukaryota; Metazoa; Chordata; Actinopteri; Cypriniformes; Cyprinidae. The record is from RNAcentral.
UGCUGAAAAGGGGCCUAGAGAUGCACAAGCGCCACCUCUUGAAUUAUUCAUCCAUUAACACCCUGCACCUUCGCUCUUUCCUCUUAUUAAUGGAGCUGUCAAUUUUUUCAUUUAUCGACUGCUAAACAGCACUUCAUCUCCUUGACUUUUUCAUUACCAUUCUGCCAUCUUUCAUUAUUUGUCUUCCAUCUCUGUUUGUCCAUGUCUCUUGUAAGUUCUCUGAUGGCAGCGUCUGUGUUUGUCAGCCCGUCACACACAGAAGGCGGCACACUCCUCCAGAAGACAAAGGCUGGGUAUAUUCUCCUCUGCACUUCAGCUCAGGGCCUAAAACCCUGGCAGAGGAUGAAGAGGAGAGUGAAUCAUAAUCAGACCUCAGGAAAGAGGGGCAGCUACAAGGUUUGA